This 324-nucleotide ribosomal RNA is filed under the name Triticum aestivum (bread wheat). RNAcentral's name for it is "partial small subunit ribosomal RNA". The record is from RNAcentral. Lineage: Eukaryota; Viridiplantae; Streptophyta; Magnoliopsida; Poales; Poaceae.
AUGUACCCAGGUCAUUUCCAUGUGUUGGAGGCUCGCUUACGUCUCUGGGAUAUUAAAUAUAUUAUGUGCAAAUCAGGUGCUGAUGCUGGCUCUGGGAGGGGUACGAGGGGGCAGAACAAGAGUUGUUGUGUUAACAAUGCAGUGACAGGGGAUGGGACACCUUGCGAUGUGCCUGAAGCCUUGAUGCAAUAUGACCGCAAUGAUGUUGCUGGACAAUCAGACAUCCAUGAGCAUGAGGAUGAAGUGGGUAGGGGAUUGUGCGUGAUGUCAGGCUGGAUGAGGAGUAACCUAAGGUUGCAGAUAGGCAUGGUCAGGACAUCGUGA